GACGCCAAUAGGUGGAUUGCUAGGCUUGAGGAGAGAAGAAGGACGUGGCAAGCUGCGAUAAGCUCGGGGUAGGCGCACGCAUCCUAUGAUCCCGAGAUGUCCGAAUGAGAAUCUUACACAUAGUGUAUUCCGUUACAAUGGUG
This 143-nucleotide ribosomal RNA is filed under the name Candidatus Nitrosarchaeum limnium SFB1. RNAcentral's name for it is "5.8S ribosomal RNA". It matches the Rfam family "Archaeal large subunit ribosomal RNA", at positions 15 to 160 of the family's 2987-position model. Lineage: Archaea; Thermoproteati; Nitrososphaerota; Nitrososphaeria; Nitrosopumilales; Nitrosopumilaceae. The record is from RNAcentral.